CGGAGCUAACGCGUUAAAUCGACCGCCUGGGGAGUACGGCCGCAAGGUUAAAACUCAAAUGAAUUGACGGGGGCCCGCACAAGCGGUGGAGCAUGUGGUUUAAUUCGAUGCAACGCGAAGAACCUUACCUACUCUUGACAUCCAGAGAAUUAGCUAGAGAUGCUUGGGUGCCUUCGGGAACUCUGAGACAGGUGCUGCAUGGCUGUCGUCAGCUCGUGUUGUGAAAUGUUGGGUUAAGUCCCGCAACGAGCGCAACCCUUAUCCUUUGUUGCCAGCGAUUCGGUCGGGAACUCAAAGGAGACUGCCGGUGAUAAACCGGAGGAAGGUGGGGAUGACGUCAAGUCAUCAUGGCCCUUACGAGUAGGGCUACACACGUGCUACAAUGGCGUAUACAAAGAGAAGCGACCUCGCGAGAGCAAGCGGAACUCAUAAAGUACGUCGUAGUCCGGAUUGGAGUCUGCAACUCGACUCCAUGAAGUCGGAAUCGCUAGUAAUCGUAGAUCAGAAUGCUACGGUGAAUACGUUCCCGGGCCUUGUACACACCGCCCGUCACACCAUGGGAGUGGGUUGCAAAAGAAGUAGGUAGCUUAACCUUCGGGAGGGCGCUUACCACUUUGUGAUUCAUGACUGGGGUGAAGUCGUAACAAGGUAACCGUAGGGGAACCUGCGGUUG
This 673-nucleotide ribosomal RNA is filed under the name Pectobacterium versatile. RNAcentral's name for it is "bacterial SSU rRNA". It matches the Rfam family "Bacterial small subunit ribosomal RNA", at positions 847 to 1520 of the family's 1533-position model. The record is from RNAcentral. Lineage: Bacteria; Pseudomonadati; Pseudomonadota; Gammaproteobacteria; Enterobacterales; Pectobacteriaceae.